Molecule: non-coding RNA, 28 nt
Filed under: Bombyx mori (domestic silkworm)
Lineage: Eukaryota; Metazoa; Arthropoda; Insecta; Lepidoptera; Bombycidae
Source: RNAcentral
AAGGAGAGUAACACUACAUUAUUGUCUU